UCUUGAAACACGGACCAAGGAGUCUAGCAUGUGCGCGAGUCAUUGGGACCGCACUAAACCUACAGGCGUAAUGAAAGUGAAGGACGGCCUUGUGCCGUCCAAGGGGGGAUGCGUUUAUACGUUAAUAGCGUUUGCGCCGCACCCCCGGGGCGUCUCGUUCUCAUUGCGAGUUGAGGCGCACCCAGAGCGUACACGCUGGGACCCGAAAGAUGGUGAACUAUGCCUGGUCAGGACGAAGUCAGGGGAAACCCUGAUGGAGGUCCGUAGCGAUUCUGACGUGCAAAUCGAUCGUCGGAACUGGGUAUAGGGGCGAAAGACUAAUCGAACCAUCUAGUAGCUGGUUCCCUCCGAAGUUUCCCUCAGGAUAGCUGGCGCUCGCCUUUGCGAGUCUCAUCCGGUAAAGCGAAUGAUUAGAGGCAUUGGGGUCGAAACGGCCUCAACCUAUUCUCAAACUUUAAAUGGGUGAGAUCUCCGGCUUUCUUAACCAGUGAAGCCGCGAGAUCUCGGAUCAGAGUGCCAAGUGGGCCAUUUUUGGUAAGCAGAACUGGCGCUGUGGGAUGAACCAAACGUAGAGUUAAAGCGCCUAAAUCGACGCUUAUGGGAUACCAUGAAAGGCGUUGGUAACUUAAGACAGCAGGACGGUGGCCAUGGAAGUCGGAAUCCGCUAAGGAGUGUGUAA
RNAcentral lists this ribosomal RNA (679 nucleotides) under Bostrichus capucinus. Its description in RNAcentral is "eukaryotic LSU rRNA". It matches the Rfam family "Eukaryotic large subunit ribosomal RNA", at positions 652 to 1285 of the family's 3401-position model. Lineage: Eukaryota; Metazoa; Arthropoda; Insecta; Coleoptera; Bostrichidae. The record is from RNAcentral.